CUACGGGUUGCACCAGUCGAGAAUAAUGGACAAUGGGGGAAACCCUGAUCCUGCGACGUCGCGUGCUUGAAGAAGCCCCUCGGGGUGUAAAGAGCUUUUAUUAGGGGACAAUAAUAGAGCGUACCUAAUGAAUAAGGGGGUGCAAAUCACGUGCCAGCAGCAGCGGUAAUACGUGACCCCCAAGCGUGUAUCCGGAUUUAUUGGGCGGAAAGAGUCUGUAGGUGGCAAUGUAAGUCUUUGGUUAAAUCCUCAGGGCCCAAACUUGAGAAUGCCAGGGAAACUACAUAGCUAGAGGAUGUUAGGGGCUGAUGGAACGGUAGGUGUAGGGGUAAAAUCCGUUGAUAUCUACCGGAACACCGAAAGCGAAGGCAGUCAGCUGGGGCAUUCCUGACACUGAGAGACGAAAGCGUGGGGAGCAAAAAGGAUUAGAUACCCGCGUAGUC
RNAcentral lists this ribosomal RNA (443 nucleotides) under uncultured bacterium. RNAcentral's name for it is "partial 16S ribosomal RNA". It matches the Rfam family "Bacterial small subunit ribosomal RNA", at positions 339 to 795 of the family's 1533-position model. The record is from RNAcentral.